Molecule: small nuclear RNA, 122 nt
Organism: Bicyclus anynana (squinting bush brown)
Lineage: Eukaryota; Metazoa; Arthropoda; Insecta; Lepidoptera; Nymphalidae
Product: U5 spliceosomal RNA
Exons: 1
Source: RefSeq, a predicted model, not a curated record
UAACUCUGGUUUCCCUUCAUAACGCAUAAAUCUUUCGCCUUUUACUAAAGAUUUCCGUGGAGGGGAACACUCAAAUGAGUCUUUAAAAUUUUUUGAGGCUUCGCUUCGCUACCUAGCGGAGC